AGGAUGCUGAAGCUGAUACGUACGCAGCUCUCGAUCCAUCAUCCAGGUCCUCCAACGAUGAGUACGGCACUCUGACAACCGCUCACUCCAGUCCUCCUGAUGAUACAUACGCGACUCUGGAUCCCCACACCAUUUCUCCAGAGUACGAAACUCUAACAAUGGUGAGAAACGAGAACUGAUCGUGGAUGUCGACACGUGACACGAUGACUUGAUUGAUCCAACC
Molecule: long non-coding RNA, 223 nt
Organism: Trichomycterus rosablanca
Lineage: Eukaryota; Metazoa; Chordata; Actinopteri; Siluriformes; Trichomycteridae
Exons: 3
Source: RefSeq, a predicted model, not a curated record